AGAGUUUGAUCCUGGCUCAGAUUGAACGCUGGCGGCGUGCCUUACACAUGCAAGUCGAACGGCAGCACGGGUGCUUGCACCUGGUGGCGAGUGGCGAACGGGUGAGUAAUAUAUCGGAACGUACCCUAGAGUGGGGGAUAACGUAGCGAAAGUUACGCUAAUACCGCAUACGAUCUACGGAUGAAAGUGGGGGAUCGCAAGACCUCAUGCUCAUGGAGCGGCCGAUAUCUGAUUAGCUAGUUGGUGAGGUAAAAGCUCACCAAGGCUUCGAUCAGUAGCUGGUCUGAGAGGACGACCAGCCACACUGGAACUGAGACACGGUCCAGACUCCUACGGGAGGCAGCAGUGGGGAAUUUUGGACAAUGGGCGCAAGCCUGAUCCAGCAAUGCCGCGUGAGUGAAGAAGGCCUUCGGGUUGUAAAGCUCUUUUGUCAGGGAAGAAACGGACUUUUCUAAUACAGAGAUCUAAUGACGGUACCUGAAGAAUAAGCACCGGCUAACUACGUGCCAGCAGCCGCGGUAAUACGUAGGGUGCAAGCGUUAAUCGGAAUUACUGGGCGUAAAGCGUGCGCAGGCGGUUGUGCAAGACAGAUGUGAAAUCCCCGGGCUCAACCUGGGAAUUGCAUUUGUGACUGCACGGCUAGAGUGUGUCAGAGGGGGGUAGAAUUCCACGUGUAGCAGUGAAAUGCGUAGAGAUGUGGAGGAAUACCGAUGGCGAAGGCAGCCCCCUGGGAUAACACUGACGCUCAUGCACGAAAGCGUGGGGAGCAAACAGGAUUAGAUACCCUGGUAGUCCACGCCCUAAACGAUGUCUACUAGUUGUCGGGUCUUAAUUGACUUGGUAACGCAGCUAACGCGUGAAGUAGACCGCCUGGGGAGUACGGUCGCAAGAUUAAAACUCAAAGGAAUUGACGGGGACCCGCACAAGCGGUGGAUGAUGUGGAUUAAUUCGAUGCAACGCGAAAAACCUUACCUACCCUUGACAUGUCUGGAAUCCCUGAGAGAUUAGGGAGUGCUCGAAAGAGAAUCAGAACACAGGUGCUGCAUGGCUGUCGUCAGCUCGUGUCGUGAGAUGUUGGGUUAAGUCCCGCAACGAGCGCAACCCUUGUCAUUAGUUGCUACGAAAGGGCACUCUAAUGAGACUGCCGGUGACAAACCGGAGGAAGGUGGGGAUGACGUCAAGUCCUCAUGGCCCUUAUGGGUAGGGCUUCACACGUCAUACAAUGGUACAUACAGAGGGCCGCCAACCCGCGAGGGGGAGCUAAUCCCAGAAAGUGUAUCGUAGUCCGGAUUGGAGUCUGCAACUCGACUCCAUGAAGUUGGAAUCGCUAGUAAUCGCGGAUCAGCAUGUCGCGGUGAAUACGUUCCCGGGUCUUGUACACACCGCCCGUCACACCAUGGGAGCGGGUUUCACCAGAAGUGGGUAGCCUAACCGCAAGGAGGGCGCUCACCACGGUGGGAUUCGUGACUGGGGUGAAGUCGUAACAAGGUA
RNAcentral lists this ribosomal RNA (1491 nucleotides) under metagenome. RNAcentral's name for it is "bacterial SSU rRNA". It matches the Rfam family "Bacterial small subunit ribosomal RNA". The record is from RNAcentral.